This 909-nucleotide ribosomal RNA is filed under the name uncultured Bacteroidota bacterium. RNAcentral describes it as "bacterial SSU rRNA". It matches the Rfam family "Bacterial small subunit ribosomal RNA", at positions 1 to 903 of the family's 1533-position model. The record is from RNAcentral. Lineage: Bacteria; Pseudomonadati; Bacteroidota.
GGAUCCAGACUUUGAUCCUGGCUCACGAUGAACGCUAGCUACAGGCUUAACACAUGCAAGUCGAGGGGCAGCGGGAUUGAAGCUUGCUUCAAUUGCCGGCGACCGGCGCACGGGUGAGUAACGCGUAUCCAACCUUCCGUACACUCAGGGAUAGCCUUUCGAAAGAAAGAUUAAUACCUGAUAGUAUCUUAAGCACACAUGUAAUUAAGAUUAAAGAUUUAUCGGUGUACGAUGGGGAUGCGUUCCAUUAGGUAGUAGGCGGGGUAACGGCCCACCUAGCCAACGAUGGAUAGGGGUUCUGAGAGGAAGGUCCCCCACAUUGGAACUGAGACACGGUCCAAACUCCUACGGGAGGCAGCAGUGAGGAAUAUUGGUCAAUGGACGAGAGUCUGAACCAGCCAAGUAGCGUGAAGGAUGAAGGUCCUACGGAUUGUAAACUUCUUUUAUAAGGGAAUAAACCCUCCCACGUGUGGGAGCUUGUAUGUACCUUAUGAAUAAGCAUCGGCUAACUCCGUGCCAGCAGCCGCGGUAAUACGGAGGAUGCGAGCGUUAUCCGGAUUUAUUGGGUUUAAAGGGAGCGCAGACGGGUCAUUAAGUCAGCUGUGAAAGUUUGGGGCUCAACCUUAAAAUUGCAGUUGAUACUGGCGUCCUUGAGUGCGGUUGAGGUGUGCGGAAUUCGUGGUGUAGCGGUGAAAUGCUUAGAUAUCACGAAGAACUCCGAUUGCGAAGGCAGCACACUAAUCCGUAACUGACGUUCAUGCUCGAAAGUGUGGGUAUCAAACAGGAUUAGAUACCCUGGUAGUCCACACGGUAAACGAUGGAUACUCGCUGUUGGCGAUAUACUGUCAGCGGCUUAGCGAAAGCGUUAAGUAUCCCACCUGGGGAGUACGCCGGCAACGGUGCAACUCA